RNAcentral lists this ribosomal RNA (703 nucleotides) under uncultured bacterium. RNAcentral describes it as "bacterial SSU rRNA". It matches the Rfam family "Bacterial small subunit ribosomal RNA", at positions 8 to 698 of the family's 1533-position model. The record is from RNAcentral.
AGAGUUUGAUCAUGGCUCAGGACGAACGCUGGCGGCGCGCUUAACACAUGCAAGUCGAGCGAGAACCAGGCCUUCGGGCCUGGGGACAGCGGCGAACGGGUGAGUAACACGUGGGUAAUCUGCCCUCGAUUCUGGGAUAGCCCGGGGAAACCCGGAUUAAUACCGGAUAGCCUCUCGAGCUCUCGGGCUCGUGAGAAAAGGUAGCUUCGGCCUCCGAUCGAGGAUGAGCCCGCGGCGGAUUAGCUUGUUGGUGGGGUAAUGGCUCACCAAGGCGACGAUCCGUAGCUGGUCUGAGAGGACGAUCAGCCACACUGGGACUGAGACACGGCCCAGACUCCUACGGGAGGCAGCAGUGGGGAAUCUUGCGCAAUGGGCGAAAGCCUGACGCAGCGACGCCGCGUGGGGGAAGAAGGCCUUCGGGUUGUAAACCUCUUUCAGUAGGGACGAAGCCACUCGGGUUAAUAGCCCAGAGGGUGACGGUACCUACAGAAGAAGCCCCGGCUAACUACGUGCCAGCAGCCGCGGUAAUACGUAGGGGGCAAGCGUUGUCCGGAUUUAUUGGGCGUAAAGAGCGUGUAGGCGGCCAGGUAGGUCCGUUGUGAAAACUGGAGGCUUAACCUUCAGACGUCGAUGGAAACCAUCUGGCUAGAGUCCGGAAGAGGAGAAUGGAAUUCCUGGUGUAGCGGUGAAAUGCGCAGAUAUC